UUUUAUUAGGUAGUCGGAGUGGCUGUUCUCUUUGAAGUGCAAAGAAAUGCUAGAUCAGAAGCUAGAAAGGAAGAAAUGCGUAAACAAGAACUAGAGGCAUUGAAGCAACGAGAUGAAGAUUUGUCCAAAGAAGUUGAGAUUCUCAAGUACAAAGUCGUGGAACUGGAGCACCUUGUUAAAGGACGAAGGCAUAAUAUUUUCAGCUUGACGCAAGCUGAUAGCAUGAAUGACAAAGUUAAAACUUGAUUUAUUGUCGUGUCAUGGCAGUAAAAACUUGUACAAUGGGAGUCGAAAUACUCAGAAUGGAACUUUGACCAGAGAUGCAAAUUUUAGGCAUUUCUGAGAAUCUGUAGCUGCUCUUGCCAAACUAAUAUGACUCAAAAAUUCUUGACUCCUUGCGGGAGCAAAAUCAGAUAAUACAAGUUGUAGAAAGAUGUAUGUUCACCAUC
Coffea eugenioides is the source of this 449-nucleotide long non-coding RNA. RefSeq lists it as uncharacterized. The transcript is spliced from 2 exons. The record is from RefSeq and is a predicted model, not a curated record. Lineage: Eukaryota; Viridiplantae; Streptophyta; Magnoliopsida; Gentianales; Rubiaceae.